RNAcentral lists this ribosomal RNA (468 nucleotides) under uncultured bacterium. RNAcentral describes it as "partial 16S ribosomal RNA". It matches the Rfam family "Bacterial small subunit ribosomal RNA", at positions 28 to 507 of the family's 1533-position model. The record is from RNAcentral.
GACGAACGCUGGCGGCGUGCUUAACACAUGCAAGUCGAACGGAAAGGCCCUGCUUUUGUGGGGUGCUCGAGUGGCGAACGGGUGAGUAACACGUGAGUAACCUGCCCUUGACUUUGGGAUAACUUCAGGAAACUGGGGCUAAUACCGGAUAGGAGCUCCUGCUGCAUGGUGGGGGUUGGAAAGUUUCGGCGGUUGGGGAUGGACUCGCGGCUUAUCAGCUUGUUGGUGGGGUAGUGGCUUACCAAGGCUUUGACGGGUAGCCGGCCUGAGAGGGUGACCGGCCACAUUGGGAUUGAGAUGCGGCACAGACUCCUACGGGAGGCAGCAGUGGGGAAGAGUGCACAAUGGGCUGAAGCCUAAUGCAGUCACGCCGUGUGCGGUAUGACGGCCUUCGGGUUGUAAACCGCUUUCGCCUGUGACGAAGUGUGAGUGACGGUAAUGGGUAAAGAAGCACCGGCUAACUACGUG